Molecule: ribosomal RNA, 655 nt
Filed under: Pantoea sp.
Lineage: Bacteria; Pseudomonadati; Pseudomonadota; Gammaproteobacteria; Enterobacterales; Erwiniaceae
Description: bacterial SSU rRNA
Rfam family: Bacterial small subunit ribosomal RNA
Source: RNAcentral
CCACGCCGUAAACGAUGUCGACUUGGAGGUUGUGCCCUUGAGGCGUGGCUUCCGGAGCUAACGCGUUAAGUCGACCGCCUGGGGAGUACGGCCGCAAGGUUAAAACUCAAAUGAAUUGACGGGGGCCCGCACAAGCGGUGGAGCAUGUGGUUUAAUUCGAUGCAACGCGAAGAACCUUACCUGGCCUUGACAUCCAGAGAACUUAGCAGAGAUGCUUUGGUGCCUUCGGGAACUCUGAGACAGGUGCUGCAUGGCUGUCGUCAGCUCGUGUUGUGAAAUGUUGGGUUAAGUCCCGCAACGAGCGCAACCCUUAUCCUUUGUUGCCAGCGGCUCGGCCGGGAACUCAAAGGAGACUGCCGGUGAUAAACCGGAGGAAGGUGGGGAUGACGUCAAGUCAUCAUGGCCCUUACGGCCAGGGCUACACACGUGCUACAAUGGCGCAUACAAAGAGAAGCGACCUCGCGAGAGCAAGCGGACCUCAUAAAGUGCGUCGUAGUCCGGAUUGGAGUCUGCAACUCGACUCCAUGAAGUCGGAAUCGCUAGUAAUCGUAGAUCAGAAUGCUACGGUGAAUACGUUCCCGGGCCUUGUACACACCGCCCGUCACACCAUGGGAGUGGGUUGCAAAAGAAGUAGGUAGCUUAACCUUCGGGAGGG